GGCUGUAAGAUAAUGUGGAUGUGACAACGUCCAUCACUGCAUUAGUCACCAGGGUUGAUUGAGCUGACCUGGCUAGGCAGGUAGAUCCUCCUUUUCUCUCACGGAGACAUAUGUAUCUUUCCUGAUGUGUGCAUUUCCCCCGAGGAUGCACACCCUGUACAAGAGGAAUAUUUGUUCAUAAGGAAUCUACAAACAGUGGUGCCCCAGUAGAGCCUCCAAGCAAGCUCUCAAUGCCAGCAUGUGUUUACCUGACACUGUUGCUGGAGCCCCUAACCUACCUGUCCUCCUAUCCCCAUUACAAAGCCCACUUG
Unclassified non-coding RNA from Mesocricetus auratus (golden hamster), 311 nucleotides. Its record names the gene 7SK. It matches the Rfam family "7SK RNA". From Rfam's summary of the family: 7SK was discovered as an abundant small nuclear RNA in the mid-70s but a possible function has only recently been suggested. Two independent studies have found that 7SK RNA binds the CDK9/cyclin T complex (known as elongation factor P-TEFb). Lineage: Eukaryota; Metazoa; Chordata; Mammalia; Rodentia; Cricetidae. The record is from Ensembl.